AGUGAACGCUGGCGGUAGGCCUAACACAUGCAAGUCGAACGGCAGCACAGUAAGAGCUUGCUCUUACGGGUGGCGAGUGGCGGACGGGUGAGGAAUACAUCGGAAUCUACUUUUUCGUGGGGGAUAACGUAGGGAAACUUACGCUAAUACCGCAUACGACCUACGGGUGAAAGCAGGGGAUCUUCGGACCUUGUGCGAUUGAAUGAGCCGAUGUCGGAUUAGCUAGUUGGCGGGGUAAAGGCCCACCAAGGCGACGAUCCGUAGCUGGUCUGAGAGGAUGAUCAGCCACACUGGAACUGAGACACGGUCCCUACUCCUACGGGAGGCAGCAGUGGGGAAUAUUGGACGAUGGGCGCAAGCCUGAUCCAGCCAUACCGCGUGGAUGAAGAAAGCCUUCGGGUUGUAAAGCCCUUUUGUUGGGAAAGAAAAGCAGCAGGUUAAUACCCCGCUGUUCUGACGGUACCCAAAGGAUAAGCACCGGCUAACUUCGUG
Molecule: ribosomal RNA, 492 nt
Filed under: uncultured bacterium
Lineage: Bacteria
Description: partial 16S ribosomal RNA
Rfam family: Bacterial small subunit ribosomal RNA
Source: RNAcentral